Molecule: ribosomal RNA, 323 nt
Filed under: Brevundimonas nasdae
Lineage: Bacteria; Pseudomonadati; Pseudomonadota; Alphaproteobacteria; Caulobacterales; Caulobacteraceae
Description: bacterial SSU rRNA
Rfam family: Bacterial small subunit ribosomal RNA
Source: RNAcentral
UGAAAUCCCGGGGCUCAACCUCGGAAUUGCCUUUGAUACUGGGUGUCUUGAGUAUGAGAGAGGUGUGUGGAACUCCGAGUGUAGAGGUGAAAUUCGUAGAUAUUCGGAAGAACACCAGUGGCGAAGGCGACACACUGGCUCAUUACUGACGCUGAGGCUCGAAAGCGUGGGGAGCAAACAGGAUUAGAUACCCUGGUAGUCCACGCCGUAAACGAUGAUUGCUAGUUGUCGGGAUGCAUGCAUUUCGGUGACGCAGCUAACGCAUUAAGCAAUCCGCCUGGGGAGUACGGUCGCAAGAUUAAAACUCAAAUGAAUUGACGGGA